Molecule: long non-coding RNA, 227 nt
Filed under: Elaeis guineensis (African oil palm)
Lineage: Eukaryota; Viridiplantae; Streptophyta; Magnoliopsida; Arecales; Arecaceae
Description: long non-coding RNA (EGUI_LNC044913)
Source: RNAcentral
GUUCAGCUUCUUCUAUUGUCUUAAGUUCUAAGUGAGAAACAAAAGCUAUAUAAUUAUAUACAUCUCUAAGAGAAGAUCGAAUUCUUACUCCUUAUGUCAGAUCACCAAUGAUUAAUUCUUUAGGGUGAUUAUAGACAUACCUCCAUUCUUUUGGAAGAUCACUUAUACCUUAAGAUUGUUCUUGAACAUUUUGAUCAUUGAUGUUCUCAUCCUCAUGCUUUUCCUCC